AUAUAAUCCCAGGAAGCACAGUUAGACAGUGAGAGAAUGUUGCAGGGAAGGGAAGAAAGCCAAUAAAGGGUAUGCUGAUGAGUAGUUACCAUGUGAACAUGGGACUCAAUCUUGGAGUGUAUCCACUGAGUCACAAUGUAGAAUGUGCCAAAGAAUUGUCCCACUGAAGGGACAUGAACAUGCGAUAUUUAUCCGGGGACUCCUGUUCUUCACUCUUAACUGCCUCGCAAUUUGUACCCGUCCAAUGUCCAGGCUGAACAUACUCCUAGAACAGAAGAGGCUCCUGCAUCACAGAGCUGAUUUUCCUAGCAGAGGGACCCAGACUAAGAAGAAAUCUCUUGGAUUUAAAGAACUUUUCAUCACUCUGUUCAACUACUUUCUGUACAACAAAGAGCUGGAUGUGGACCACUACCAACAAUAAGAGUUCCCCAUCUCACGAAUGUCCAAUAUGAAGGUCUGGCACCUUGCCUUCCAAUAUGGAAUAUACGUCUUGCUGGGACAAUCCCCUGGAAUCACAAAGAACUCCAGCAGCGGCUUGCACCCAUCCUCAUCCUCAGAGGAAUACUGGAAACCAGACUGCAGAAGCAGCAACAUGCUCCCUUCCAACAAGUCACACAGAGAAGGGAGUAUCAAAGCAGUAACUUCACCCACCAUGUGUUGCAUUACAGGAAACUUUAAUGUUCAGAAAUGCAUUUCCCUUUUAUUUAUUUUUUUUGGAGGAGGCGGCCAUAGGAAUUUCAAUUUACAGCCAUUGGUGAUCACUUCUAUUUGGAAUCAUUGGCAAAAGAGUGUAGUAGUGACUGAGAAUGGGUAGGAGACAAGAUUGGUCAUUCAAUGGGAGAGGAGUUCAAUUUUUCCAACAAAUCUUUGGGAGAUAAAGCUGAAUAAAAUGAAUUACUCUUCAGUGGUGACUGGAGAUAUGGCCAGAGUUCAUGGGACUGAUAUGAGCACAACCAGGACUAUAGAACUGUGGAUAUCAGGGGAAAUUUCUGAAAAAUGUUAUCCAAAACAUUUUCUAUUAUCAAGAUCCAGGAUUUUCUGUGUCUUAAAGGAAUCUAAAAGAUGGGAUCCAGAAGGCCGAAUCCAGGAGGCAGAAGGCAAAGGUUCUCUUUAUCAAAUUAGAAAGGUGUUCGCAGGCUCACCUUCUAAACCUAGAACGAGGACAGUUAUCCCUUCUCUUGUUGCAUCUCUGAAGUUCUUCAGUUACUCAAUUUGUGGACUUAGAAUAGCACAUCGUCCAGCCACAUUUAUUCUAAACAGAUGGUCUGGACCCAGAGAGAUGGCAGCCAAUGAUCUUAACCACUGUGCUCACAGCUUAUCUUUUCAUGGAAAGGUGAAGAGAUGUCAAGUGCAACCAUCCCACCAAGUACGCGCACACACGGCCCAUUUGUUUAAUCAAACUGGAAAUUACAGGAUAAUGUAUUAUGUUCACUUAUUUUAAGUCACAAUUGAUAUUGAAAAUAAAUACUGAAAUGGCAAGUUAUAUAAAUGGCAAAGUGCUUUUAUUGUGGGUAUUGGCUCCAGUUUGGUGAGUGGUGAGAGAUUAACAUAGAGUUCACU
Molecule: long non-coding RNA, 1560 nt
Organism: Equus caballus (horse)
Lineage: Eukaryota; Metazoa; Chordata; Mammalia; Perissodactyla; Equidae
Source: Ensembl